UCAUUUGUUUAAGAAUUAAGGUAUGAAAAAUUUCGAGGACGAAAUUUCUUUUAAGGGGGGAAGAAUGUAAAUCCCGGCCUAUCUGAAAAAUUGGGAGGAAUGGCGGUGGAGAUCGGCAACUGUUGAGGCGGUUAUAACCGCCUGACAGCCACGAUCACCACCACUUCUCCCUCCCCGCCGAGGCCUAUAAAAACCCAAAAACUAUUCUAAGAGAUUCUUCAUCCCUCACCCUCUCACUGCCUCUCAUUCCCUUUUCCUUCUGUGUAACGGAAACGGA
This 277-nucleotide long non-coding RNA is filed under the name Phoenix dactylifera (date palm). RNAcentral's name for it is "long non-coding RNA (PDAC_LNC008236)". Lineage: Eukaryota; Viridiplantae; Streptophyta; Magnoliopsida; Arecales; Arecaceae. The record is from RNAcentral.